AUUGAACGCUGGCGGAAUGCUUUACACAUGCAAGUCGAACGGCAGCACGGACUUCGGUCUGGUGGCGAGUGGCGAACGGGUGAGUAAUGUAUCGGAACGUGCCCAGUCGUGGGGGAUAACGUAGUGAAAAUUACGCUAAUACCGCAUACGAUCUAUGGAUGAAAGCGGGGGAUCGCAAGACCUCGCGCGAUUGGAGCGGCCGAUAUCAGAUUAGGAAGUUGGUGGGGUAAAGGCCCACCAAGCCAACGAUCUGUAACUGGUCUGAGAGGACGAGCAGCCACACUGGAACUGCGACACUGUCCAGACGCGUACGGGAGGCAGCAGUGGUGAAUUUUGGACAAUGGGCGAAAGCCUGAUCCAGCCAUUCCGCGUGCAGGAUGAAGGCCCUCUGGUUGUAAACUGCUUUUGUACAGAACGAAAAGGUUUCUACUAAUACUAGGAGCUCAUGACGGUACUGUAAGAAUAAGCACCGGCUAACUACUUGCCAGCAGCCGCCGUAA
RNAcentral lists this ribosomal RNA (500 nucleotides) under uncultured bacterium. RNAcentral describes it as "partial 16S ribosomal RNA". It matches the Rfam family "Bacterial small subunit ribosomal RNA", at positions 30 to 523 of the family's 1533-position model. The record is from RNAcentral.